GGAAAAUCGUCCGUUCACCGCCACCUGUCAUUCUCCGUCCUCAAAUAAAAAACACCCAAAACUGUUUUCUCUUUCCCCUUGCAUUUUCCCGAGAAAAUUAACCUCGUAAGCAAAUUUCCCCAAGAAAAAUGAUUCGAUCCUCGUGAAAAAAGAACUCUAACCGGGCGUGAAGCAGUACCAUGAGGUCGAUCUAUGACCUCUUUUUUAACUUACAAAAUCGAAAGCUUUCCUCUUCAAUUCUUUCAUGGAUAAUCGAGAACAACAAGAUCGAGACAGAACCCUAAUUACCGGCCCGAAACAAAUCAAUGCCGCACAUGAUAAGUGCAAGUAAUUGAAUGGAAGAUCGAGACAGAACCCUAAUUACCGGCCCGAAACAAAUCAAUGCCGCACAUGAUAAGUGCAAGUAAUUGAAUGGGAAGAUUCGAGAACGAGCUAGCUAGAUUGUGGAGUUUAAGUUCUGCCCUUAAGGAAGCUAAUGAGAAGAAGCAAAGUCUUCAAGAGAACUCCUGUCGCUCAUUCAGGUCAAAACUAAGUCUUGAAUAAACUGAAUGGGCUUGAGGAAAUGCAUGAGAGACUAGAGGCAAGGAAACUAGUGAUGGCAAACAUGUCAACUCGUAGCAAACGUACGGCGGAGGAUGCUAAAAAAGAAGAGGAAAUGCUUAGCACUGAAGUGAGAUCGUUGUUGGUUGCUGGUACCUCUCUUUCUGUAGCAAGGAAGCGAUUGCAGGAAGCAAAUAGAUUACUCACUGAAGAAGGGGUUAUGUUAAACUUAAAAAUGUGCAAAGGAAGCUUCGAGCAAGGCAACAAUAUAUGAUAUCACAAGUUUCAUUACUCUAUCCUGUAAAGGUCUUGGUUGGACCUGCACAAGAGCAAGAACUUGAGUCCUAUUCUAGCAGUAGUAGAUUAGGGAAUUCUUCUGCAUCUAAGCCUGUUAGUCAAGGUCCUUGACGAUUUUAGGUCUGAAUC
Long non-coding RNA from Hibiscus syriacus, 966 nucleotides. RefSeq lists it as uncharacterized. The record is from RefSeq and is a predicted model, not a curated record. NCBI's taxonomy places the organism in Eukaryota, Viridiplantae, Streptophyta, Magnoliopsida, Malvales, Malvaceae. The transcript is spliced from 4 exons.